CGGUGAGACUGGAGCAGCUGACUCUUAAUCAGCGGGUCACAGGUUCGAUCCCUGUCGCACCCACCA
This 66-nucleotide transfer RNA is filed under the name Mesorhizobium sp. RNAcentral's name for it is "tRNA-Lys". It matches the Rfam family "tRNA", at positions 16 to 71 of the family's 71-position model. Rfam says of the family: Transfer RNA (tRNA) molecules are approximately 80 nucleotides in length. Their secondary structure includes four short double-helical elements and three loops (D, anti-codon, and T loops). Further hydrogen bonds mediate the characteristic L-shaped molecular structure. tRNAs have two regions of fundamental functional importance: the anti-codon, which is responsible for specific mRNA codon recognition, and the 3' end, to which the tRNAs corresponding amino acid is attached (by aminoacyl-tRNA synthetases). tRNAs cope with the degeneracy of the genetic code in two manners: having more than one tRNA (with a specific anti-codon) for a particular amino acid; and 'wobble' base-pairing, i.e. permitting non-standard base-pairing at the 3rd anti-codon position. The record is from RNAcentral. Lineage: Bacteria; Pseudomonadati; Pseudomonadota; Alphaproteobacteria; Hyphomicrobiales; Phyllobacteriaceae.